This 643-nucleotide long non-coding RNA is filed under the name Capsella rubella. Its description in RNAcentral is "long non-coding RNA (CRUB_LNC002486)". Lineage: Eukaryota; Viridiplantae; Streptophyta; Magnoliopsida; Brassicales; Brassicaceae. The record is from RNAcentral.
GAUGUUGAGAUUUCUUGUAUUUGUUCAAUGCAUAAAGAAAUUCUACAAAAAAAAUCUGAAACGCAUUGGUUUUGUUAAUAACUUGAAAAGAACAGAGACUUGAACAAGAGAGAGAGACACGAGAUAUUGAAUGUGAAACUUCUUGUUUUGUUAAGUCAUUACACACACUUAUAUAUAAUCACAAGGUCGUAAUCUCUAAAACAAGACCAUUUUGUAUACAUUCCUCUUUGUAGUAUGCUGGAAUCAAGACUCACAGUCCGGAGGGAAGGAGAGUUGGGACAAGAAUUAAUGUCGUGCCCUCCACGAAACCAAAAAUUACCUCUAUGAAUAAUAACAAGUUACCUCUAUGAAUACUCAUAUCAAUCGCAAAUCCAUGCAAAACCCUAAAGAGAUGAUAAGAAAAGAUAAAUCAAAGAGAAGAAAGCGAUGAACAAUAAUGAUCGAUCACUUCUUGAUAUAUAUAUACAGAGAGAGGGGAAGCAAAACCCAAAACCUGAGCCGGUUUAGGGUUCCGAAGAGAUCCUACGGCUGUUAAUUGUUUAUGUGCAAGAACUCAACGGUGAAGAUGUAAUAACACAAUAAUAACAGCUUAAUUAAUAUGAAUUACUGAUCAGAAAAAAAAACUCAUACGCUGCUUCAAAAC